AAGUCGUAACAAGGUUUCCGUAGGUGAUUGAGCUUCACAUUAAACUGUGGGGUUAUUAGGGGGCAUGGGGACCCUUUGGCAAAGCUCCUGCCCGAGUGUACGGUCUACAGGAAUCGUAGAAGCGCUAUCCUUGCACAAUCAAUGACACUUUCCGACACUGACUGCUUGGAGAAACAUUGCCUAUAGAACUACCGCUCGAUUGUAACUGUUCCAAUGUUCGCACGUAGCCAGAGGUCUCUGAAUCACUACAACUUUCCGGGCUAUGAUUUAUCAGAGAUUGCGAACUACGCGGGUUACAAGAGCAGGAUGAAGGUUCACGGGGGGGGGUUUUAACGUUUGGAUACGUGUUAAUGAUCCUUCCGCAGGUGUAAUACAUUGGGUAAAAAAACCGAACAACUGUUAACAAUGGAUAUCUUGGUUCUC
This 423-nucleotide unclassified non-coding RNA is filed under the name fungal sp. Its description in RNAcentral is "partial internal transcribed spacer region". Lineage: Eukaryota; Fungi. The record is from RNAcentral.